This 73-nucleotide transfer RNA is filed under the name Mus musculus (house mouse). RNAcentral describes it as "tRNA-Pro". Lineage: Eukaryota; Metazoa; Chordata; Mammalia; Rodentia; Muridae. The record is from RNAcentral.
GAAGAGAUGGCUCAGUGGUUAAGAGCACUGACUGGGGUUCCAGAGGUCCUGAGUUCAAUUCCCAGCAACCACA